GCCCCCGUAGCUCAGAGGAUAGAGCAGUGGUUUCCUAAACCAUGCGCGCAGGUUCGAGUCCUGCCGGGGGUACCA
Molecule: transfer RNA, 75 nt
Filed under: Chloroflexota bacterium
Lineage: Bacteria; Bacillati; Chloroflexota
Description: tRNA-Arg
Rfam family: tRNA
About the family: Transfer RNA (tRNA) molecules are approximately 80 nucleotides in length. Their secondary structure includes four short double-helical elements and three loops (D, anti-codon, and T loops).
Source: RNAcentral